AACGAACGCUGGCGGCAGGCCUAACACAUGCAAGUCGAACGCUCCGCAAGGGGAGUGGCGCACGGGUGAGUAACACGUGGGAACCUACCUUCUGGUACGGAACAACCAAGGGAAACUUUGGCUAAGACCGUAUACGACCUCCGGGUGAAAGAUUGAUCGCCGGAAGAGGGGCCCGCGUCCGAUUAGGUAGUUGGUGAGGUAACGGCUCACCAAGCCUUCGAUCGGUAGCUGGUCUGAGAGGAUGACCAGCCACACUGGGACUGAGACACGGCCCAGACUCCUACGGGAGGCAGCGGUGGGGAAUAUUGGACAAUGGGCGCAAGCCUGAUCCAGCCAUGCCGCGUGAGUGAUGAAGGCCUU
This 360-nucleotide ribosomal RNA is filed under the name uncultured bacterium. RNAcentral describes it as "bacterial SSU rRNA". It matches the Rfam family "Bacterial small subunit ribosomal RNA", at positions 29 to 418 of the family's 1533-position model. The record is from RNAcentral.